Molecule: ribosomal RNA, 365 nt
Filed under: uncultured bacterium
Lineage: Bacteria
Description: bacterial SSU rRNA
Rfam family: Bacterial small subunit ribosomal RNA
Source: RNAcentral
AGGCGGCAGGCUUAACACAUGCAAGUCGAACGCCCCGCAAGGGGAGUGGCAGACGGGUGAGUAACGCGUGGGAACGUACCUUUCGCUUCGGAAUAUUCCCGGGAAACUGGGAGCAAUGCCGAAUACGCCGUAUUGGGAAAGAUUUAUCGGCGAAAGAUCGGCCCGCGUUAGAUUAGGUAGUUGGCGGUGUAAUGGACCACCAAGCCUACGAUCUAUAGCUGGUCUGAGAGGAUGAUCAGCCACACUGGGACUGAGACACGGCCCAGACUCCUACGGGAGGCAGCAGUGGGGAAUCUUGGACAAUGGGCGCAAGCCUGAUCCAGCCAUGCCGCGUGAGUGAAGAAGGCCUUAGGGUUGUAAAACUC